Molecule: ribosomal RNA, 281 nt
Filed under: uncultured Staphylococcus sp.
Lineage: Bacteria; Bacillati; Bacillota; Bacilli; Caryophanales; Staphylococcaceae
Description: partial 16S ribosomal RNA
Rfam family: Bacterial small subunit ribosomal RNA
Source: RNAcentral
CUCCUUUGACGUUAGCGGCGGACGGGUGAGUAACACGUGGGUAACCUACCUAUAAGACUGGGAUAACUUCGGGAAACCGGAGCUAAUACCGGAUAAUAUUUCGAACCGCAUGGUUCGAUGGUGAAAGGUGGUUUUGCUAUCACUUAUAGAUGGACCCGCGCCGUAUUAGCUAGUUGGUAAGGUAACGGCUUACCAAGGCGACGAUACGUAGCCGACCUGAGAGGGUGAUCGGCCACACUGGAACUGAGACACGGUCCAGACUCCUACGGGAGGCAGCAGGA